RNAcentral lists this ribosomal RNA (497 nucleotides) under uncultured bacterium. RNAcentral describes it as "partial 16S ribosomal RNA". It matches the Rfam family "Bacterial small subunit ribosomal RNA", at positions 28 to 507 of the family's 1533-position model. The record is from RNAcentral.
GAUGAACGCUGGCGGCGUGCCUAAUACAUGCAAGUCGAGCGGACAGAUGAUGAGCUUGCGCCUCGGACGGUAGCGGCUGGCGGGUGAGUAACACGUGGAUCACCUCCCUAUAUUUCGUGGAUAACUUCGGGAAACCGGAACUAAUACCGUAUAAAAUAUUGAACCGCGUUGGUGAAUGGUAAAAUACGGUUGUGCGGGCACUGAUAGCGGUAUCCGCGCCGCAUUAGCUAGUUGUUAAGGUAAAGGCGUACGAAGGGAACUAGGCGUAACCGAACUGAGAGGGUGAUCGGCCACACUGGAACUGAGACACGUUCCAGACUCCUAAGGGAGGCAGCAGUCGGGAAUAUUCGGCAAUGGGCGAAAGCCUGACGCAGCAAGGCCGCGUGAGUGAUGAAGGCCUUCGGUUCGUAAAGCCCUGUUAUUAGGGAAGAACAACUGUGUAAUUAAAUAUGGCCGUAUUGACGGUACCUAAUCAGAAAGCCCCGGCUAACUACGUG